RNAcentral lists this ribosomal RNA (388 nucleotides) under uncultured bacterium. RNAcentral describes it as "bacterial SSU rRNA". It matches the Rfam family "Bacterial small subunit ribosomal RNA", at positions 30 to 418 of the family's 1533-position model. The record is from RNAcentral.
AUUGAACGCUGGCGGCAUGCCUUACACAUGCAAGUCGAACGGUAACGGGCCUUCGGGUGCCGACGAGUGGCGAACGGGUGAGUAAUGCAUCGGAACGUACCUUUCAGUGGGGGAUAACGUAGCGAAAGUUACGCUAAUACCGCAUAUUCUGUGAGCAGGAAAGCAGGGAUCGCAAGACCUUGCGCUGAUUGAGCGGCCGAUGUCAGAUUAGCUAGUUGGUGAGGUAAAGGCUCACCAAGGCGACGAUCUGUAGCGGGUCUGAGAGGAUGAUCCGCCACACUGGAACUGAGACACGGUCCAGACUCCUACGGGAGGGCAGCAGUGGGGAAUUUUGGACAAUGGGGGGCGAACCCUGAUCCAGCCAUGCCGCGUGAGUGAAGAAGGCCUC